This 414-nucleotide ribosomal RNA is filed under the name uncultured bacterium. RNAcentral's name for it is "partial 16S ribosomal RNA". It matches the Rfam family "Bacterial small subunit ribosomal RNA", at positions 360 to 774 of the family's 1533-position model. The record is from RNAcentral.
AAUAUUGCGCAAUGGAGGGAACUCUGACGCAGCGACGCCGCGUGAGCGAUGAAGGUUUUCGGAUCGUAAAGCUCUGUCCUUGGGGAAGAAGGCGGCCAUUUAUGGUCACUUGACGGUACCCAAGGAGGAAGCCCCGGCUAACUACGUGCCAGCAGCCGCGGUAAUACGUAGGGGGCAAGCGUUGUCCGGAAUUAUUGGGCGUAAAGGGUUCGCAGGCGGCCUUUUAAGUCAGAUGUGAAAGCCCACGGCUCAACCGUGGCAAGCAUUUGAAACUGAAAGGCUUGAGUUAAGGAGAGGAAAGUGGAAUUCCUAGUGUAGCGGUGAAAUGCGUAGAUAUUAGGAGGAAUACCAGUGGCGAAGGCGACUUUCUGGACUUAUACUGACGCUGAGGAACGAAAGCGUGGGGAGCAAACA